Molecule: ribosomal RNA, 468 nt
Filed under: uncultured bacterium
Lineage: Bacteria
Description: partial 16S ribosomal RNA
Rfam family: Bacterial small subunit ribosomal RNA
Source: RNAcentral
GGCGAACGCUGGCGGCGUGCUUAACACAUGCAAAUCGAACGGAAAGGCCCUGCUUUUGUUGGUUGCUCGAGUGGCGAACGCGUGAGUAACACGUGAGUAACCUGCCCUUGCCUUUGGGAUAACUUCAGGAAACUGGGGCUCAUACCGGAUAGGAUCUCCUGCUGCAUGGUGGGGGUUGGAAAGUUUCGGCGGUUGGGGAUGGACUCGCGGCUUAUCAGCUUGUUGGUGGGGUAGUGGCUUACCAAGGCUUUGACGGGUAGCCGGCCUGAGAGGGUGACCGGGCACAUUGGGACUGAGAGACGGCCCAGUCGUCUAUGGGAGGCAGUAGUGGGGAAUAUUGCAGAAUGGGCGGAAGCCGGACGCAGCAACGCCGCGUGCGGGAAGACGGCUUUCGGGUUGGAAACCGCUUUCGCCUGUGACGAAGCGUGAGUGACGGUAAUGGGUAAAGAAGCACCGGCUAACUACGUG